GCUCCAGUGGCGCAAUCGGUCAGCGCGCGGUACUUAUAAGACAGUGAGCCUGCGGAGUGAUGCCGAGGUUGUGAGUUCGACCCUCACCUGGAAGCA
RNAcentral lists this transfer RNA (96 nucleotides) under Pleuronectes platessa (European plaice). Its description in RNAcentral is "tRNA-Ile". It matches the Rfam family "tRNA". From Rfam's summary of the family: Transfer RNA (tRNA) molecules are approximately 80 nucleotides in length. The record is from RNAcentral. Lineage: Eukaryota; Metazoa; Chordata; Actinopteri; Pleuronectiformes; Pleuronectidae.